Molecule: ribosomal RNA, 253 nt
Filed under: uncultured bacterium
Lineage: Bacteria
Description: partial 16S ribosomal RNA
Rfam family: Bacterial small subunit ribosomal RNA
Source: RNAcentral
UACGUAGGGUGCAAGCGUUAAUCGGAAUUACUGGGCGUAAAGCGUGCGCAGGCGGUUAGGUAAGACAGGUGUGAAAUCCCGGGGCUCAACCUCGGAACUGCCUUUGAUACUGCAAAUCUCGAGUCCGGAAGAGGUGAGUGGAAUUCCUAGUGUAGAGGUGAAAUUCGUAGAUAUUAGGAAGAACACCAGUGGCGAAGGCGGCUCACUGGUCCGGUACUGACGCUGAGGUGCGAAAGCGUGGGGAGCAAACAGG